CAUCCUUUAGGCCUCAUGCAUCAUGUGAAAAUGUAGAUGCAAAGGCUCCAAUAGUUGGCACCUAAUGGAUCUCUUAAGGGGGGUCAAAUAUCUAAGGCUACAAGGAUUCUUAAUGCAAGUAAGACUUAUAUUAAGGAUCUAUUUGAUUUUGAAUAUGAUUCAAAUCUUUUGCCUAUUUAAAAGGACCUUCUCUAAGACUUUUAACAUCAAA
Molecule: long non-coding RNA, 211 nt
Filed under: Elaeis guineensis (African oil palm)
Lineage: Eukaryota; Viridiplantae; Streptophyta; Magnoliopsida; Arecales; Arecaceae
Description: long non-coding RNA (EGUI_LNC060359)
Source: RNAcentral